This 437-nucleotide ribosomal RNA is filed under the name uncultured bacterium. RNAcentral's name for it is "partial 16S ribosomal RNA". It matches the Rfam family "Bacterial small subunit ribosomal RNA", at positions 28 to 507 of the family's 1533-position model. The record is from RNAcentral.
GAUGAACGCUGGCGGCAGGCUUAACACAUGCAAGUCGGACGGGAACUGGUUUUGCCAGUGGCGGACGGGGGAGUAACUCGUAAGAACCUGCCCUUGGGAGCGGAACAACAGCUGGAAACGGCUUCUAAUACCCCGUAUUAUGAGGAUCAAGAGGACGAAUCCGCCCGAGAAGCGGCGGGCGUCUGAUCAUCUAGUUGUUGAGGCAAUAGCUUACCAAGGAGAUGGUCAGGAGAUGGUGCAACAGGAUGAUCAGCCAGACUGGGACGGGAAGCAGGAGCAGAGAACUAUGGGAGACAGGAGUGAGGAAUAUUCAGCAAUACCGGAAAGCUUGACGGAGCAUUCGGGUGUGGAAGUAGAAUGGUUACGGGUGGAGAGCUGCUGUUCAAGGAGAAGAAGCAAUGACGGUACCUAAGGAAUAAGCAUCGGCUAACUCCGUG